GACGGGAUGUAUAAGAGUUUCUUCGAAUUUAUUGAAAUUUCUAUUAAAAGUUCAGGGAAAGCGAUUGUAAUCACUACUGGAAAUACGAUUACUCUCUAUAAACGAGAACAAAGUAUGUCUAGCGACACAACGACAAAAGGACACCAGUUUUAACAGGUCGAAAACAUUUUUUAAAAAUAUAGAACUCUGCUCAUUCAGUAUCAC
RNAcentral lists this long non-coding RNA (204 nucleotides) under Mytilus galloprovincialis (Mediterranean mussel). Lineage: Eukaryota; Metazoa; Mollusca; Bivalvia; Mytilida; Mytilidae. The record is from RNAcentral.